This 459-nucleotide ribosomal RNA is filed under the name uncultured bacterium. Its description in RNAcentral is "partial 16S ribosomal RNA". It matches the Rfam family "Bacterial small subunit ribosomal RNA", at positions 338 to 795 of the family's 1533-position model. The record is from RNAcentral.
CCUACGGGAGGCAGCAGUGAGGAAUAUUGGUCAAUGGCCGAAAGGCUGAACCAGCCAAGCCGCGUGAAGGACGAAGGUGCCAAGCGUUGUAAACCUCUUUUGUCAGGGGACAAAAUGAGGCACGAGAGACUGAUCGAGGGUACCCGAAGAAAAAGCAUCGGCUAACUCCGUGCCAGCAGCCGCGGUAAUACGGAGGAUGCGAGCGUUAUCCGGAUUUAUUGGGUUUAAGGGGUGCUCAGGCGGAGGUGCAAGUCAGCGGUAAAAGUCCGGGGCUCAACCCCGGACUGCCGUUGAAACUGGCUGUCUUGAGUGGGCGAGAGGUAUGCGGAAUGCGCAGUGUAGCGGUGAAAUGCAUAGAUAUUGCGCAGAACUCCGAUUGCGAAGGCAGCAUACCGGCGGCGAUCUGACGCUGAGGCACGAAAGCGUGGGUAUCGAACAGGAUUAGAUACCCCUGUAGUC